GAUCCUGGCUCAGAACGAACGCUGGCGGCAGGCUUAACACAUGCAAGUUGAACGGGAUUUGUAUGGUGCUUGCACCAUGUAAUGAGAGUAGCGCACUGGUGAGUAACACGCGGGAACAUACCUUGAAGAGGGGGACAACAGUUGGAAACGACUGCUAAUACCGCAUGACGCAUAGAGGUCGCAUGAUCUUUAUGCCAAAGAUUUAUCGCUUCAAGAUGGCCUCGCG
RNAcentral lists this ribosomal RNA (226 nucleotides) under uncultured bacterium. RNAcentral's name for it is "partial 16S ribosomal RNA". It matches the Rfam family "Bacterial small subunit ribosomal RNA", at positions 15 to 235 of the family's 1533-position model. The record is from RNAcentral.